GAAGACUUUGACCUGUUUAUCACUGGCGGAGGCAUGGAAUUGGAAGGGGAUGUGAGUGUUGGUCAAAGAAAUUCUGAUUUUGUUGAGGGAGUUACCAAUGGUCAAGGGGGUUCUAACGGUUCAAUUUUUGGUGAACAUCCUUAUGGUGAACACCCUUCUAGAACACUAUUUGUCAGAAACAUCAAUAGCAAUGUUGACGAUGCUGAGCUAAAGGCUCUUUUUGAGCAAUAUGGAGACAUUCGAACACUUUAUACAGCCUGCAAACAUCGUGGUUUUGUUAUGAUCUCUUACUAUGACAUUAGGACAGCUCGAAAUGCAAUGAGAUCUCUUCAGAAUAAGCCACUGAGGCGUAGGAAACUUGACAUACAUUAUUCAAUUCCAAAGGACAAUCCAUCUGAGAAAGAUAUUAA
RNAcentral lists this unclassified non-coding RNA (410 nucleotides) under Hevea brasiliensis (rubber tree). The record is from RNAcentral. Lineage: Eukaryota; Viridiplantae; Streptophyta; Magnoliopsida; Malpighiales; Euphorbiaceae.